RNAcentral lists this long non-coding RNA (3893 nucleotides) under Sus scrofa (pig). RNAcentral's name for it is "lncRNA (ENSSSCG00000052433.1)". The record is from RNAcentral. Lineage: Eukaryota; Metazoa; Chordata; Mammalia; Artiodactyla; Suidae.
AAAAGAAAACAAAAAUUUCUGAAGACUUUAUCACUCCCCCAAACAGAUAAGUUCUUUCUAUUUUAUUUCUUCCCUGUGUGUUUUAUCAUAAUCAUGAUUUUCUAAAUAUACAGUUUUCAGUUUCCAUUCAGUAAUUUUCACUACAAUAAAUAAUUAUAAAUACAUGAUUUAAAUACUUGCAUAAUAUUUCAUCAGAUAUAUGUCACAUUAUUUACUUAAUUUUCUGUUAGAUAUUUAGGUACUUUGUAAUUUUUUAUGGAUGACUAUAUCUGCAAAAAAUAUCUAGAUACAUAGAUUUUUAUGUAUAUGCAUGAGCACAAACUUUUAAGUACAAACUAUAAAAUCAUAUCCUCUGAAUAAAUAUAUCAAUCUACAUUUCUUCCAACAAUGUGUUUUAUUCCAUCAUUCUGGUUUCAAUAAUUAUUAUGACCAUUUUCUACAUUUUGUCAAUUUUUUUUUUGCUUUUUAGAGCCACACCAGCAGUAUAUGGAGAUUCCCAGGCUAGGGGUCCAAUUGAAGAUACAGCUGCCAGCCUAUGCCACAGCCACAGCAAUGCAGGAUCCUUAACGCACCGAGCGAGGCCAGGGAUUGAACCUGCAACGUCAUGGAUCCGAGUCGGGGUCGUAAACUGCUGAGCCACAAGGGAAUCUCCAAAAGUUGAUUAUUCAAAUGAUUACCAUCACAUUAUGUGAAAAUGAUUUAAUACUAGUGAUGUUUAGAAAACAUAUGCACUUAGGAUUUUUGAUUAAAUUUUCCUCCUAAUUACAAUUAAAAGAAACUGGAAGUUAUAGUAUAUUCAUAAUGUAUGUGUUUAGUUGGUAAAGACUGCAUGGAACUCUAUAAUCAGCAGACUCUGGACAAAAGAAAACUUUAGCUAUAAACUGAAGAAAAAAAACUAUAAUAUACAUUUAUAUGAUUUAUGUCAAUGCAAUUGCCUAAUAUGUGCAAACAUAAUUGUUUGUGGUUUUCUGCCUUAUUUUACAGUUUAUUUUUAACUAACCAAAGUGUUUGAUAGUAAGAUUAUUAUUGUAAUUAAAUGAUUAUAAGCAUGAGGAUAAGACAGAAUUAUGAAAUAUUUUCCCCCAGGAAAUAUGAUUUGCUUUCUGGUGUAAUUUUUGGCAGGUUUCCUCAGACUAGUUUAAAUUUCCACCUCUGAUAAAUAGGAAUAUCCUAGGCUGCAUUUUAUUUUUUAUUUUUAUUUUUUCUUUCUUUUUUUUAAUUAUUAUUUUGUCUUUUUUUUUUUUUUUUUUUAGUCCUGCACCCAUGGCAUAUGGAGGUUCCCAGGCUAGGGGUCGAAUUGAAGCUGUAGUGGCUGGCCUACACCACAGUUACAGCAACUCGGGAUCCGAGCCGCAUCUGCAACCUACGCCAUAGCUCACCGCAAUGACAGAUCCUUAACACACUGGGCGAAGCCAGGGAUUGAACCUGCAUCAUCUUGGAUCCUGGUCGGGUUUGUUAACCACUGAGCCAUAAUGGGAACCCAAGGCUGCAUUUUACAAAGGUGAAAUCUCCACUACUUAAACGCCUCUAGAGAAGAUUUGCCAGGACCACAUUAAUUAUUUUUUGUCUUCUCCAAGUAAACACACACACACAUCUCCACAUCAGGAAACUAGUAGAUAUUUUCAUUUUUAAAUAUUAUUAUUUAAAGCAUCGCUCUCUUUCUCCCCCUCCUACAUUUACUUUUUUUUAUUUUAGGGCCACUCCAGGGCUAUGGAAGUUCCCAGACUAGGGUUCAAAUAGGAGCUGCAGCUGCCAGUCUACGCCAUAGACACAAAAAUGCCAGAUUUGAGCUAUGUUUAUGAUCUACACUACAGCUUGUGACAAAGCCAGAUCUUUAAACCACUGAGAGAGGCCUGGAAUCAAACCCACAUUCUCUUGGAUACUAGUGAGUUUGCUUCCACUGAGCCACAACAGAAACUCCUAAAAACUCUUUUUAGAAGGAGUUUAAAGGAGUCCAUGAGUUUAUUUUCUGUGGAAAGGUUCAUUUGUGCCAUAUAUUAGAUUAGAUGUGAUAUCACAUGGUAUUUGUCUUUCUCUUUCUGACUUAUUUCACUCAGUAUGAGAGUCUCUAGUUCCAUCCAUGUUGCUGCAAAUGGCAUUAUUUCAUUCUUUUUUAAUGGCUGAGUAUUAUUCUAUUGUGUAUCUAUACCACGUCUUCCUAAUCCAGUCAUCUGUCCAUAGACAUUUGGGUUGUUUCUAUGUCUUGGCUAUUGUGAAUAGUGCUGCAAUGAACAUGCAGGUGCAUGUGUCUUUUUCAAGAAGGUUUUGUCCGGAUAUAUGCCCAAGAGUGGGAUUGCUGGUCCUAUGGUAGUUCUAUUUAUAUUUUUCUAAGGUACCUCCAUACUGUUCUUCAUAGUGGUUGUACCAGCUUACAUUCCCACCAACAGUGCAGUACAGUAGAAAAAAAAAAUUGUAUUGGGAAAUAACAACAACCAAAAAAAUGUAGAAGGAGGAUGGAGUUCCUGUUGCAGUUCAGUGGAAACAAACCCACUAGUAUCCAUGAAGAUAUGGGUUCCAUACCUGGCCUCACUCAGUGGGUUAAGGUUCUGGAGUUGCUGGGAGCUAUGGUUGUAGGCCACAGAUGUGGCUCAGGUCUGGCGUUGCUGUGGCUACAGUGUAAGUCUGCAGCUGGAGCUCUAAUUCAACCCCUAACCUGAAAACUUCCGUAUGCAACCUGAGGCCCUAUAAAUAAAUAAAUAGCAUUUUUAUAAAGAACAAUCAAUUGUAUAAUUAUUGAAUUAUUGGUUUGUUUCCCAAACCUAGAUAAUGUAUUUAUAUAUAUCUUUGUUGUAUUUUACUUAUUCACAUAAACUUUUUUUUGCCCCUUUAGUUGCUGGGUUUUGCUUAGAUGAUAGAAAUAUAUUUAAGUUUGAUCCCAUUUAAGGAAACUUCGCUUUUACCUUUACUUCAGCCAUGUAGUUCGGUGCAGCACAUAAUGUUUGUUAUAGUAGAUUCUGUGGGUGCAGAAAGGAUCAGAUUGUAAACGUUUUGAAGCAGCAAUGGCUUAGCACAAAGUGUGGAACAUGCUUUGAAUUCUAUACGGUGAUAUACUGUAUCUCUACCGAACUGUCAGGGUGAAGAAAAGGAGUAUUGCAACUGUUAUAAACAUAUCACAUACAGACAUUUAUUCAGACAAAUAGAGAUGUAGCUAGGUGUCAUUUUAAAGUUCAACUAUUUAUGCUUUUGGCAGAUAGUUGAAAAUAGGAUGCGUUUGUAGCAUGGAGCUUCAAAAAUAUAAAAACAACCAACAGUAUGUUGCCAAUGGUCAGUGUCUCAGGAGUAAACAUGUGCAAUAAUAAUAGUUCUCAUUAUUUUUUAUUUCAUUUUAAUCUUAUUCAUAAAAGCUAGAGCAGCUAAGAAGAAACUAGGCUUGUUUCAUUGUGAAGAUUUUUUUAACUCUGUUUUUUUCAUUUUCUCAUUUUCUGACUUAUUCUUGUGGGAAAUGCAAUGUCUUUUUUUUUUUUAACUGCCAAAUUUGCACAGUAUAUCUCAGAGAAGGAAAAAUAAUAAUUUCCAAAGAAGAUAAUGGAAGUUGACUCUAUAUGUGUAUUUACAUUUGUAUAUAUAACAUCGGUAUAACACGUAUAUUUACAUAAAAAUAUGUGAGAAAUGUGAGAAACUGAGAUGAACCUUGCAAUAGUGUCAUUUUUCUGCUUGGAGUAGCUUUUCUGAUUGUGGGACAGGAUAAAGAGCUGGAGUCCCAUUAAAGUGUGGUGACCUCACCUUGUCGAUGAGGCUAGGAGAAGAGUUUGACAAUGAUGAGGUGGUUGGGAUUUGUCAUGAAGGCUACAGAAACACAGACAAGGACUCUGCCUAGGGGUUCUCUUACGUCUUUUGCCAAAGACUGAGCUGUUCUGCACUUGCCCUGGAUAAUAUUCUGCAAAAUUUUGCCC